GAUGAACGCUGGCGGCGUGCCUAAUACAUGCAAGUCGAGCGAACAGACGAGGAGCUUGCUCCUUUGACGUUAGCGGCGGACGGGUGAGUAACACGUGGGUAACCCACCUAUAAGACUGGGAUAACUUCGGGAAACCGGAGCUAAUACCGGAUAAUAUUUCGAACCGCAUGGUUCGAUAGUGAAAGAUGGCUUUGCUAUAACUUAUAGAUGGACCUGCGCCGUAUUAGUUAGUUGGUAAGGUACCGGCUUACCAAGGCAACGAUCCGUAGCCGACCUGAGAGGGUGAUCGGCGACACUGGAGGUGGGCCACGCACCUGGGUCCUACGGGAGGCCGCAGUAGGGAAUGGUCGGCAAUGGGGGGAAGCCUGACGGAGCGGCGCCACGUGGGUGAUGAGGGUCUUCGGAUCGUAAAACUGUCUUAUGAGGGAAAAACAAACGUGUAAGUAACUGUGCACGUCGUGACGGUACCUAGUCAAAAAGCCCCGGCUAACUACGUG
RNAcentral lists this ribosomal RNA (497 nucleotides) under uncultured bacterium. RNAcentral describes it as "partial 16S ribosomal RNA". It matches the Rfam family "Bacterial small subunit ribosomal RNA", at positions 28 to 507 of the family's 1533-position model. The record is from RNAcentral.